AUGAAGACCCUCAUGAGCACAUUAGUAAUGUUCUGGAGUAUGCCAAUACAGUCCAGUAUCAUGGCGUUUCCCAAGAUGCUAUCAAGUGUAUGUUGUUCACAUUCUCUCUCAGAGAUGCUGCAAGGACUGAUCCUCAGUUUUGCGCAAGAUGGUAGUGAGAGCUUGUAUGCAGCUUGGGAGAGAUGUAAGUAUUUGCUUAGAAAAUGUCCUAAUCAUGGGCAAAAGGAUUGGUUAGUGCUUCAGAUAUUCUAUAGAGGGCUAACACAUGCUUCAAGAGAUCUUAUUGAUAUGUCAGCUGGUGGAACAAUCAUGAACAAGGCCGUUGAGGGUGCAAUUAUUCUCAUUGAGAGCAUUGCCUUCCACCAAAUACAAUGGGGUUAUGAAAGGCCUAGUUCAAAUCCGAAGGUUGCAAGCCUCGUGCAAUCAGAAGCUGUGUGUUCCAUAAGUGAACAGAAAUCAUCCAUGGUGCCUAAUAUUCAAAACCAGCAUGUUUCAUUCCGGGGACAACAACAUUUCAGAACUGAAUUAGAUCCUCCAUAUAGAAACAUUGAUCUUACUUCAAUUAUCCUUGAUGAUGAUUAUGAUAUUUUCCAAGAUGAUGCAACCACUGUAGAUCAGAUGGAUACCACAGUAGCAGAUCCAAUACCUCAUGGCAAUGAAACUGUUCAGAAUGAGUCAAAGUUGCAAGAAGAGGUUUAUGAGGAACCUACUCUGAUUGACGCUAAGUUGAGACAGCAAGAUAUGGAGAAAUUCACUUAUGUUAGUCAGCUAUCUGACUGGUGGAAUUCAGUCGUGUCACCAAUUGCCCACACUUGUGUUACAACUGUAUCUGGACUAUUUGUCAAGAAGAAAUCAUUAGAUCCACCAGUGGUUACCUCUAUCACAGUUAAAGAGAGUAUCUCAGAGAAGAAUAGUGAAGAUGAGAUUCCAACUCCUGCACAUACAAUUAAGCAAGUCGGAGACAUUCCAAGGAGAGAGAUACAAGAGGUUGAGUCAAAUUUAGAAGAGCUGAUACUUCAAUAUCCUGAGAAGAUCCCAUGUGUUGCUGAGCUGCAUGACUGGUGGAAGUCAUCGGUGUCACUGUUGAAACUUAGCAAUGAUGGUGAUGAGGAGAACAUUGCUCAGAAAGACAGCGAGGUAGUGAUCUCAGCACCCCUACCAGAUCAUGUUAGUGAAUAUUCAUAG
RNAcentral lists this ribosomal RNA (1185 nucleotides) under Triticum aestivum (bread wheat). Its description in RNAcentral is "partial small subunit ribosomal RNA". The record is from RNAcentral. Lineage: Eukaryota; Viridiplantae; Streptophyta; Magnoliopsida; Poales; Poaceae.